Molecule: ribosomal RNA, 279 nt
Filed under: uncultured Streptococcus sp.
Lineage: Bacteria; Bacillati; Bacillota; Bacilli; Lactobacillales; Streptococcaceae
Description: partial 16S ribosomal RNA
Rfam family: Bacterial small subunit ribosomal RNA
Source: RNAcentral
CCCCUAUUGUUAGUUGCCAUCAUUCAGUUGGGCACUCUAGCGAGACUGCCGGUAAUAAACCGGAGGAAGGUGGGGAUGACGUCAAAUCAUCAUGCCCCUUAUGACCUGGGCUACACACGUGCUACAAUGGUUGGUACAACGAGUUGCGAGUCGGUGACGGCGAGCUAAUCUCUUAAAGCCAAUCUCAGUUCGGAUUGUAGGCUGCAACUCGCCUACAUGAAGUCGGAAUCGCUAGUAAUCGCGGAUCAGCAUGCCGCGGUGAAUACGUUCCCGGGCCUU